AGAUGGUUUCUGUCCUGAAGGGUUUUAAAAGUCGUAUACAAAAGACCUACAGGUGGUGGGCCUAACAAGUAUUUUUUCAAAGUUCCUUUAAUUUGAGAACUGCCACAUUACGCUGAAGGGAAGGAAGGAAGGAAGCUUUCCGAGUUUCAUGGAGUUUAAGGCUCCAGAAUCAAAGAUGGACUGACCGAAGACCCUAGAACUGUUUAGCUCUGAGGGCCGAUGAUGGAUAAGAGAGACAGAGGGGACAAAGAAGUCAGAGAGACAGAUCCAUGUUUGCAGAUGACACAAAAUCUGGCCAUAUUUUAUGCUGCGUGGACAGAAGCAUUAAAUUGCAAAGAGAUAUUAAUAGAUUGAGCAACUGGGUAAAACUGUGCCAAAUGGUUUUCAUCCUAGGCAAUGUAAGGUCAUCCACCUUGGACCAAAUAGGAAAGAACACAGGACCGUGAAAUGUUGAAAAGCCAGCAGUGGUGACCCAGAGGGAAUUGAGAACUUGUGUACAUAAAUUAUUAAUAUAUCACAGACAGAAAACAGUAGACUAAUGGAUUGUUGGCCUUUACAUAUAGAGGUUUGAACUUAAAGUAAUGCUAUGGCUAUUGAAAGUCCUAGCUAGAUCCCAUCUGCAGUACCACGAACAGCUCUGGAUACCAGACCUUGGGACAUGGAGAAAGGUAGGGGUGCCACUGAAAAAUUCCACUAUGUCAAAACAAAUUAUUUUACAGGAUUCUAACAACACAUCUACAUCAGACUAAAUGACACUGGCUCGCCACUUGGCUUUGGAACACCUGGACAAUAGCAGGACAUAUGUCAGGCUGGUGCUUAUUAAUUACAGCUCAACAUUCAACACCAUCUCCACAGUACUAAUCAGGAAGCUUCAAAACUUGGACCUCUGUAUCUCCAUCGGCAAAUGGAUCCUUGACUUCUUCUUCAGGAGACCAGAGUCAGUGCAGAUUGUAAAUAACAGCUUCUCAUCCUCAACACAAGGAAACAUGCUUAGCUCACAGCUCUACACACGAUUGCGUAGCUAGGCAUAGCUCAAAUGCCAUCUAUAAAUAUACCAAUGACACCAUUGUUGUUGGCGGAAUCUCAGAUAGCAACAAGGUGGUGUACAGGAGACACAGACCAGCUGGUUGGGUGUGUCGCAACAACCUUGCAUUUAACGUCAGCAUGGAAAUGAUUGCGGUCCUGGGAGGCGAAGUCGGAAGAACACACACCAAACCUGAUUUGAAGGGGCAGUGGUGGACAGGGUGAGCAGCUUCAAGUUCCUGGGUGUUAACAUCUCAGCUACCCUGUGCAUUAAUGUAAUCACAAAGAAGCCAUGUCACACUUCAUUAGGAGUUUGAGGAGAUUUGGUACAUCACUAAAGACUCCAUCAAGGGCACAAACAUCCCCACCAUCGAGGACUUCUUCAAAACGUGGUGCUUCGAAAAGGCGGCAUCCAUUAUCAGGGACCUUUAUUAUCCAGGUCAAUAGCUCAUCUCAUUACUACCAUUAAGGAGAGGUGUAGGACCCUAAAGAUCCAUACUCAAUAUUCCAGGAACAGUUCCUUUCCAUUUGAACAGUCCAUGAAUGCUACCUUGCCAUUUCUCUUUUGCUCUAUUUAUUUACUUAUUCUUUGUAACUUAUGAUUUUUAUGUCUUACACUGCAUUGCUGCUACAAAACAACAAACUUCACAACAUAUGUCAGUAAUAAUAAACCAGAUUCUGAUUUUGAAUGCACAAAAAUGAAUCUUUUGCAUAAGGGUCCACUGCAAAGAGAGAAGAGCUUUGAGCUUGACCACUAGAAGAACAGUUCAAGACUUGGCAGAAAGCAGGAGAAAACAGACACUUCACACACCAGCAGGAUGCAUGGGCUACAAUUAAGCAAUGGUAGCAAUUUUCAAAAUACAGAACACUAUAAUCUAUGACUGUCCAUAAACUGCUUAAAAAUGGCAACUGCUCAGACAAGAAGAGAAAAUUGCAAUGGACAAAGUUUAAGUAUGAAUUUCCCAGCUGAAAUAGAAAAUGCCAUCAACUACAUGGAGGUCACAGUGUUCAACAACCCAUGCACUGAACAGAAAAGGAAAAUUACUGCACAGAGUUCAAAAGCAUUAAGUAUUAAAGGAGGCUUUCCAGCCAAUGGCAUCUCUGCCAACUACCAAAGUGACUCAUGAGCUCCAUCCCAUAGCCCUUUUUCCACAGGCUUACAAAUCGUACUUCUUCAUAUAGUUAUCCAAUUCCUUCCUGAAGGUCCCAAUGGAAUCUGUCUCCACUACAGCUAAAGAUGACACUGUUAAUUCCGGCCACUUACGAUAGUCUCUUGUCCCAAGAACAAUUUCCCUCCCAAUUCACAACAUUGCUAAGUGUUCUGUCAUCCAUAAAUUUAGGAAUUGUAACUCAUACCAUGAAAUUGAAUUGACUUUAUUUCUUACAUCCUUCAUAGACAUGAGUAAAAAUCUUUACGCUACAUCUCCAAAACUUUAUAAUAAUUUAUAAUAAAUAGUAUGUACAACAGGACAGUCAAUAUAACAUAGAAAUACACUUGCUUCAGCAUGAAUUAAUCAGUCUGAUGGCCUGGUGGAAGAAGCUGUCUCAGAGCCUGUUGGUUCCGGCUUUUAUGCUGCAGUACCAUUUCCCUGAUGGUAGCAGCUGGAACAGUUUGUGGUUGGGGUGACUCGGGUCCCCAAUGAUCCUUCAGGCCCUUUUAACACACCUGUGUUUUGUAAAUAUCCUGAAUAGUGGGAAGUUCACUAAAAUAAAGAAAAAAAGCCACGGCUCCUAAAGCCAACCCUGGGAAACACUGCCAUUCAUCUCUGACAAGUCUGAAAGAUCAUUCCCCCUUCUGUUAAAAUAAAAUUCAUUCACACUGUUACUACUCACUACCCAUUAAGCCACUGGUAUUAGGGCAGCAAUGAAGAUCCUCCAUCUCUGGCUUCCUUCAUCGUGUUAGUAGCUUCCUCUCAGUUUUCACUACUGUCAGUCACACAAGUCCCAGAUGGAGACUUAGGAAUACCGUUGCACUCAGAUGUAGAAGGAUUCUUCAUUGCUGUUUCUGUAACAAUUUUGUUUUACUAGUCAGGGUUGUUAGCCCUGAGCCAAACCUCCGAACCUGGAGGACUGGUGGGUCACUCUUAGUCAAGCUUCUACCUUUUGACCUGUUUGGCAUGGGCGACCCUACCAAGAGCCAAAGCAUAAAGACCUGACUCAGCCAACAUAGCUCUCCGGGUCAACGAUGACAAGGUUGUGGUCCAAAUCAUUAAUGCCACUUCUAUCCUACAUACCUCACUCCACUGAUAGGCCUUUAUAUGGCACCUUAUGAAAAGUCUUCUGGAAGUACAUGUAACUGCAUCAGCUGCAUUACUCAACAAAAUAUUCUAUCAAAUUGGUUAAAUAUUAUCUUUCCUUAGUAAAUCUGCACUGGCUUCCCUGAAUUAAUUUAUCGUCCUUCGGCUGAAGGUUUAUCUCAUCCGAGAUCAAUGUUUUUAAAAGCCAUCCCAUGAGAGAGACAGGGAGAUGAGAGUUAAGUGACCAGUGAAAAUCUGACUGUUUACCGAGAUUCUGGAGCAAAACAUACUGUGUGUUCUUGUACUUCUGAAGCAAGUUCACAGAUCCUCUUUGGAAUACCACCAUCAGACAAGGAGAAAAUAAAUAUCAAGGAUUCCAAACAGCUCCACAUUGCUGAAGAAAAAGUCAAGGAGGAGCUCCUUCAUGACCAUCUAAAUUGUGGUAUUGGUUAUAAACGUGGGGCCACGGACACCAGAAGAAACCUCCUGCAAUUCUGUGAACAGUGCCAAGGGAUCUUUCUCAGCAAUCUGUGAGGAUGAAUGGGAUCUCUGUUCAAUGUUCUACCUUCCGAAAAGACAGCAUUUCCUACAGUCCAGCACUCACUCAAGAAUUAGCCAAGAAAUAUCUAAACACACAGUCCCUUUAAAUAUUGUAUUACAUUAUAAGAUUAAUGUAGUCUUAAAUUAUAAGACCACUAGGAUAAAGUUAGCAAACAAGAAAUGCCCAGAUUAUUGAUUGCCCUUUCUAAAAGAGAAAAUUCAUAGAAUUAAAAUAGUUGUGUUAAUGAACUGAGAUGGUGGAUUCUAUAAUAACUUGAAUCACUGAAGUAAUGGGCAGAGAAAAUUGAAAUAAUCAUCUAGUCUUAGAUGUUUAAUCUUUUAAAUAAUCUUAAAAGAUGAUCUAUUGACUUCAGCUCACUAUAGGACUGAGAAAUCAGCACUGGUGCAAUGACUUUCUCAACUUAUCAAAACUCAGAGGUACAUACUUGUGAAAUAGAGCACUGGACCUAGGCAUCUGAAAGCAGCCAGUGCAUCCCAGUUAUUGCUUUCCAAACAAAAAACUGACCUGACACAGAAGAAAAUUAAACCUCGUGAUAAAUACCAAAAUAGAUUGCAGUAACUUCAAAUGUACAGCUAAAAAGUUCUUCAGAAAUAACAUCUCUGCUGUAAUGACAAAACACGUUCCUUCACACAGCAAAAUAAUGAAAAGCAGAUUUAAAUAAAAAAUUUUGAUGGCGGGAUAGAUGCUAGACGCGUGGGUAAAUAAUGUGAUAAUUUAUUUGCUCUUCUCCAAUGGCAUCAUAGAAUCUUUUACAGACACUGAAGGAGUUGGGCAUUUGAUUUAUUGCUACAUCUGAAGGAUGGGGCUUAUUUAUGAGGAGAAAUGCAAAAACAGAAACAAUAGAGCUUGAUGAACAGCUUCUCUAUUUUGUCAACUUAUGGCAGAAGCACUGGAAAUGCUCUUGAUUUUUUUGUUAAAGCAGAAAAGAGCUGUGAAAUGUGGCAACCAAUAUUAAAAUAACACCACAUUAACUGUGUAAAUUUAAUGCUGUAAUGUGGAAUUUAAUAAAGUUUCAA
Molecule: long non-coding RNA, 4838 nt
Organism: Hypanus sabinus (Atlantic stingray)
Lineage: Eukaryota; Metazoa; Chordata; Chondrichthyes; Myliobatiformes; Dasyatidae
Exons: 3
Source: RefSeq, a predicted model, not a curated record